GUCGUAACAAGGUUUCCGUAGGUGAACCUGCGGAAGGAUCAUUAUUGAAUGAACUUGGUGUGGUUGUUGCUGGCUCUUUCGAGGGCAUGUGCACGCCCACCAUCCUCAUCUCUCCACCUGUGCACCUCUUGUAGACUUGGAUUGACUUUCCGAGGCAACUCGGUCGGGAGGAUUGCCGGCGCCAGCUGGCUUUCUUUGCAUUUCCAGGUCUACGUUUUUCAUAUACCCCAUUGUAUGUAACAGAAUGUAACAUUGGGCACUUGUGCCUAUAAACUUUAUACAACUUUCAGCAACGGAUCUCUUGGCUCUCGCAUCGAUGAAGAACGCAGCGAAAUGCGAUAAGUAAUGUGAAUUGCAGAAUUCAGUGAAUCAUCGAAUCUUUGAACGCACCUUGCGCUCCUUGGUAUUCCGAGGAGCAUGCCUGUUUGAGUGUCAUUAAAUUCUCAACCUUUAUCAACUUUUGUUGAUAAUGGCUUGGAUAUGGGGGUUUAUUUUGCUGGCUUCUUUACAGAUGGUCAGCUCCCCUUAAAUGCAUUAGCCGGUGCCCCGCGUGGACUGUCUAUUGGUGUGAUAAUUAUCUACGCCGUCGACAUCUGCAAUCAUAUGGGUUUGCACUGCUUCCAACUGUCUGUUGAAUCAGACAAUACAUGACAAUUUGACCUCAAAUCAGGAUAGGACUACCCGCU
RNAcentral lists this ribosomal RNA (686 nucleotides) under Hebeloma longicaudum. Its description in RNAcentral is "eukaryotic LSU rRNA". The stretch from base 282 to 435 matches the Rfam family "5.8S ribosomal RNA". The record is from RNAcentral. Lineage: Eukaryota; Fungi; Basidiomycota; Agaricomycetes; Agaricales; Hymenogastraceae.